UCCCACUUAUAACAAGGUAAAUUUUAAAUUAGAUUUUACAAUUAUUACAUAGAUUUAAAAUAUAAUUGUAUGCUAAAAAUUUAUUUAAUUAGGUGGAACCAUUCGGCGAGUUAUGUUAGAAUACCUACAUCUCUUGAAGAUAUACGGCUUCUAUUAGACCACGGUCGGAAGCACAAUUUCAAUGGACACCAUACGAGGAUCCGGCAAUUCGGGCAGUAAUUCCGGAUGAAUUAUUUUAAAAUCCAAACGUUUGGCACGUAAAGGUCCCAUUGGUCAACUAUGCUAUCGUGGAGAUGCACCAGUCAGAUCGAGUAUUGCAGCAAUUUGGCUUCCGACAACCGAUUCCCGUGGUACCUGAGGUGCUUGAUGAUGAGCACAAAAUGAACUUACGGCAAUUGCAUACGGAUUGGCCGAGAUUCCACUCAGCAUAUAUCGAAAUGUGGGAGAAUCGAUAUAAUUAUAUACCUACUCAGGAACCGAUCAUCUUCCUCAGUUAGCGUGCGUGCCGGAAUACAUGCCAUGGUUUAGGAUCCAUGGGAAGCCAUAUUUACUGUCCGAAGAAGAAAGGCGACGACAAAUUCGUGUUCAAAGGAAAUGACGAGGCCCUUUAAAUCCAAGAAGAAGGGAUAACGACCCGAGCCCAUCAACAAUGCCCAUACAAUCAGCUGGCCCAUCAAUAGCGCCCACACAAUCACCGGGCCUAACACUUCAACCGACGACACCCAUAUCACAGCCUAUUCAGAUUAUGCCAGGUGUGUAUCCUAGCCCUUAUAUAUAUCCUAACCCUUAAAUGUUUCCAGUUCUAUAGAAGGUUGAAAUGCAUGGCCCGGUUCAUCUCCGUUCCCAAUUACUUCGAAUCAGCCGCCGAUCUAUAGGCCGUCGUCGCACGAGGAGCCGUCGGGGAGGUCUUCUUUUUACCAAUCUCCAUCGCCUUGUGGGAUUCAAACACCUCUGCCAUGGGUGAUGCAAACACCUCCGCAGUCAUUAUUCUAUCAAGGUGGCUCAUCCUCCCAACACUCACAACUAGAUCUCCAGCCGGAUGAACCACAAUCCCCGCCAGAGCAACCAGAACCCUCUCUGGAACCUGAACCAAGGAGGAAUCUAGCGCCUAACCGUCGACGACCCCCAUGUGGCACUGAUUCCGACCGGCACCAACAUUGAUUUUUUUAAUAUACUUGUAAAAACUUUUUUAUAUUCUUUCAUUUAAUAAAAUAAAAGUUUUUUUUAA
Long non-coding RNA from Gossypium arboreum, 1228 nucleotides. RefSeq lists it as uncharacterized. NCBI's taxonomy places the organism in Eukaryota, Viridiplantae, Streptophyta, Magnoliopsida, Malvales, Malvaceae. The transcript is spliced from 2 exons. The record is from RefSeq and is a predicted model, not a curated record.